Molecule: ribosomal RNA, 1713 nt
Filed under: Salmonella enterica
Lineage: Bacteria; Pseudomonadati; Pseudomonadota; Gammaproteobacteria; Enterobacterales; Enterobacteriaceae
Description: partial 23S ribosomal RNA
Rfam family: Bacterial large subunit ribosomal RNA
Source: RNAcentral
GGCGAGGGGAGUGAAAAAGAACCUGAAACCGUGUACGUACAAGCAGUGGGAGCACAGGUUUACCUGUGUGACUGCGUACCUUUUGUAUAAUGGGUCAGCGACUUAUAUUCUGUAGCAAGGUUAACCGUAUAGGGGAGCCGAAGGGAAACCGAGUCUUAACCGGGCGUUAAGUUGCAGGGUAUAGACCCGAAACCCGGUGAUCUAGCCAUGGGCAGGUUGAAGGUUGGGUAACACUAACUGGAGGACCGAACCGACUAAUGUUGAAAAAUUAGCGGAUGACCUGUGGCUGGGGGUGAAAGGCCAAUCAAACCGGGAGAUAGCUGGUUCUCCCCGAAAGCUAUUUAGGUAGCGCCUCGUGAAUUCAUCUCCGGGGGUAGAGCACUGUUUCGGCUAGGGGGCCAUCCCGGCUUACCAACCCGAUGCAAACUGCGAAUACCGGAGAAUGUUAUCACGGGAGACACACGGCGGGUGCUAACGUCCGUCGUGAAGAGGGAAACAACCCAGACCGCCAGCUAAGGUCCCAAAGUCAUGGUUAAGUGGGAAACGAUGUGGGAAGGCCCAGACAGCCAGGAUGUUGGCUUAGAAGCAGCCAUCAUUUAAAGAAAGCGUAAUAGCUCACUGGUCGAGUCGGCCUGCGCGGAAGAUGUAACGGGGCUAAACCAUGCACCGAAGCUGCGGCAGCGAACGUAUCACUUAAAGCGAUUCAGCGGGUUACGAUUGACGGAGCGAAGCGACGUCAAAGCGUAUACAAAGUCGAGUCGGUUUAAGGAUACGUUCGUUGGGUAGGGGAGCGUUCUGUAAGCCUGUGAAGGUGUGUCGUGAGGCAUGCUGGAGGUAUCAGAAGUGCGAAUGCUGACAUAAGUAACGAUAAAGCGGGUGAAAAGCCCGCUCGCCGGAAGACCAAGGGUUCCUGUCCAACGUUAAUCGGGGCAGGGUGAGUCGACCCCUAAGGCGAGGCCGAAAGGCGUAGUCGAUGGGAAACGGGUUAAUAUUCCCGUACUUGGUGUUACUGCGAAGGGGGGACGGAGAAGGCUAUGUUGGCCGGGCGACGGUUGUCCCGGUUUAAGCGUGUAGGUGUGUGUUCCAGGUAAAUCCGGUUCACUUUAACACUGAGGCGUGACGACGAGGCACUACGGUGCUGAAGCAACAAAUGCCCUGCUUCCAGGAAAAGCCUCUAAGCAUCAGGUAACAUCAAAUCGUACCCCAAACCGACACAGGUGGUCAGGUAGAGAAUACCAAGGCGCUUGAGAGAACUCGGGUGAAGGAACUAGGCAAAAUGGUGCCGUAACUUCGGGAGAAGGCACGCUGACACGUAGGUGAAGUGAUUUACUCAUGGAGCUGAAGUCAGUCGAAGAUACCAGCUGGCUGCAACUGUUUAUUAAAAACACAGCACUGUGCAAACACGAAAGUGGACGUAUACGGUGUGACGCCUGCCCGGUGCCGGAAGGUUAAUUGAUGGGGUCAGCGCAAGCGAAGCUCCUGAUCGAAGCCCCGGUAAACGGCGGCCGUAACUAUAACGGUCCUAAGGUAGCGAAAUUCCUUGUCGGGUAAGUUCCGACCUGCACGAAUGGCGUAAUGAUGGCCAGGCUGUCUCCACCCGAGACUCAGUGAAAUUGAACUCGCUGUGAAGAUGCAGUGUACCCGCGGCAAGACGGAAAGACCCCGUGAACCUUUACUAUAGCUUGACACUGAACAUUGAGCCUUGAUGUGUAG